RNAcentral lists this ribosomal RNA (522 nucleotides) under uncultured delta proteobacterium. Its description in RNAcentral is "bacterial SSU rRNA". It matches the Rfam family "Bacterial small subunit ribosomal RNA", at positions 9 to 523 of the family's 1533-position model. The record is from RNAcentral. Lineage: Bacteria; Deltaproteobacteria.
GAGUUUGAUCAUGGCUCAGGACGAACGCUGGCGGCGUGCCUAACACAUGCAAGUCUGACUGGAAAGUCUCCUUCGGGAGACGACUACAGUGGCGGACGGGUGAGUAACGCGUGGGAAUCUACCCGGUAGUGGGGGAUAACCCUUCGAAAGGAGGGCUAAUACCGCAUAAGUCUUACGAGGUAAAGAUGGCCUCUUUACAAUGCUAUCGCUUCCGGAUGAGCCCGCGUCCUAUUAGCUUGUUGGUGAGGUAACGGCUUACCAAGGCGACAAUGGGUAGCCGGUCUGAGAGGAUGAACGGCCACACUGGGACUGAGACACGGCCCAGACUCCUACGGGAGGCAGCAGUGGGGAAUUUUGCGCAAUGGGGGAAACCCUGACGCAGCAACGCCGCGUGAACGAUGAAGGCCUUCGGGUCGUAAAGUUCUGUUCUGGGGGAAGAAACAGCAAAAAGACAAUACCUUUUUGCCUUGACGGUACCCCAGCAGAAAGCUCCGGCCAAUUAUGUGCCAGCAGCCGCGGUUA